GACGAACGCUGGCGGCGUGCUUAACACAUGCAAGUCGAACGGAAAGGCCCUGCUUUUGUGGGGUGCUCGAGUGGCGAGCGGGUGAGUAACACGUGAGUAACCUGCCCUUGACUUUGGGAUAACUUCAGGAAACUGGGGCUAAUACCGGAUAGGAGCUCCUGCUGCAUGGUGGGGGUUGGAAAGUUUCGGCGGUUGGGGAUGGACUCGCGGCUUAUCAGCUUGUUGGUGGGGUAGUGGCUUACCAAGGCUUUGACGGGUAGCCGGCCUGAGAGGGUGACCGGCCACAUUGGGACUGAGAUACGGCCCAGACUCCUACGGGAGGCAGCAGUGGGGAAUAUUGCACAAUGGGCGGAAGCCUGAUGCAGCAACGCCGUGUGCGGGAUGACGGCCUUCGGGUUGUAAACCGCUUUCGCCUGUGACGAAGCGUGAGUGACGGUAAUGGGUAAAGAAGCACCGGCUAACUACGUG
RNAcentral lists this ribosomal RNA (468 nucleotides) under uncultured bacterium. RNAcentral's name for it is "partial 16S ribosomal RNA". It matches the Rfam family "Bacterial small subunit ribosomal RNA", at positions 28 to 507 of the family's 1533-position model. The record is from RNAcentral.